CAGUAGCCACGGGAAUACGGAGGGAGCUAGCGUUGUUCGGAAUCACUGGGCGUAAAGCGUACGUAGGCGGCUAUUCAAGUCAGUGGUGAAAGCCCGGGGCUCAACCCCGGAACUGCCUUUGAAACUAGAUAGCUUGAAUCUUGGAGAGGCGAGUGGAAUUCCGAGUGUAGAGGUGAAAUUCGUAGAUAUUCGGAAGAACACCAGUGGCGAAGGCGACUCGCUGGACAAGUAUUGACGCUGAGGUGCGAAAGCGUGGGGAGCAGACAGGAUUAGAUACCCCCGUAGUCCCUGUCUCUUAUAC
RNAcentral lists this ribosomal RNA (301 nucleotides) under uncultured bacterium. RNAcentral describes it as "partial 16S ribosomal RNA". It matches the Rfam family "Bacterial small subunit ribosomal RNA", at positions 509 to 807 of the family's 1533-position model. The record is from RNAcentral.